UCCCUGAUGUCUCAGAUGGUAAAGAACCUGCCUGCAGUGUAGGAGACCCAGGUUUGAUCCCUGGGUUGGGAA
Molecule: transfer RNA, 72 nt
Filed under: Ovis aries (sheep)
Lineage: Eukaryota; Metazoa; Chordata; Mammalia; Artiodactyla; Bovidae
Rfam family: tRNA
About the family: Transfer RNA (tRNA) molecules are approximately 80 nucleotides in length. Their secondary structure includes four short double-helical elements and three loops (D, anti-codon, and T loops). Further hydrogen bonds mediate the characteristic L-shaped molecular structure. tRNAs have two regions of fundamental functional importance: the anti-codon, which is responsible for specific mRNA codon recognition, and the 3' end, to which the tRNAs corresponding amino acid is attached (by aminoacyl-tRNA synthetases). tRNAs cope with the degeneracy of the genetic code in two manners: having more than one tRNA (with a specific anti-codon) for a particular amino acid; and 'wobble' base-pairing, i.e. permitting non-standard base-pairing at the 3rd anti-codon position.
Source: Rfam by way of RNAcentral